RNAcentral lists this ribosomal RNA (605 nucleotides) under uncultured bacterium. Its description in RNAcentral is "bacterial SSU rRNA". It matches the Rfam family "Bacterial small subunit ribosomal RNA", at positions 61 to 684 of the family's 1533-position model. The record is from RNAcentral.
GUCGAUUCGAUUUACCUUCGGGUAUUGAGGAUGGCGGACGGGUGAGUAACGCGUAAGGAACUUGCCUCUUGGUCUGGGACAACUGUUGGAAACGACAGCUAAUACCGGAUAUUAUGAGAUUCUCGCAUGGGAAACUUAUGAAAGCUAUAUGCGCCAAGAGAGAGCCUUGCGUUCCAUUAGCUAGUUGGUGGGGUAACGGCCCACCAAGGCGACGAUGGAUAGCCGGCCUGAGAGGGUGAACGGCCACAAGGGGACUGAGACACGGCCCUUACUCCUACGGGAGGCAGCAGUGGGGAAUAUUGGACAAUGGACCAAAAGUCUGAUCCAGCAAUUCUGUGUGCACGAUGAAGGUCUUCGGAUUGUAAAGUGCUUUCAGUUGGGAAGAAGCAAGUGACGGUACCAACAGAAGAAGCGACGGCUAAAUACGUGCCAGCAGCCGCGGUAAUACGUAUGUCGCAAGCGUUAUCCGGAUUUAUUGGGCGUAAAGCGCGUCUAGGCGGAAAAAUAAGUCUGAUGUUAAAAUGCGGGGCUCAACUCCGUAUUGCGUUGGAAACUGUUUUUCUAGAGUACUGGAGAGGUGGGCGGAACUACAAGUGUAGAGGUGA